AUUAAUCACAUUAGAAACACGUUAAUGAAAAAAACUUGAAUUAGGAAAAGAGAUAGGGUUACGUGUUAUGGCCAUUGCAUCUGAAAAAGCUCUCUCCCUCUCUCAGUCCUCAACGAACCAGCGGCGGCGGCCAGAACCUCAUCUCCUCUCAUCAAUUUCUCCGAUCAAAUCGUCUCUCUCAGAGCCUCAUCUCUUGGUCUUGCUCUCACUCUCAUAUUCAACUCACCGCGCCGGUGAAUGCUUCACGGCGGCGGCGUCUCAGUUCACUCAUUGCACAAAUCUCUCGUCUCAAAAUGCUAAUCAAACUCUUCCGAUUUCACUCUAGAUCUCUAUGCUUCUCACAUCUCUCUGUCCUCGAUCUCAUCUCUCCAUCCGGCGAUUCUUUGAGUAUGACGAUAGUGAUAAGAAAACCAGAGAGGAUACUCUUCAUGAACUGCGUUGUUGUGUUGAUGAUGAUGUUGAAUGAUUACCGAUUGUUGCCGCGUUGAUGUUGUGGAAAUUGGUUGAAUCAAACAAUGAUCACGUGUUGAUGAAAGGGAAGAGUUGAAGAUCGAAACGAUUGCCGAAACGAAGUUGUGCGCGGAGAUUGAUAAAGAAGAGGUCGAUUGAAGAACAAAUGAACCGCUACUUUCGUUUUUCUCUUCUCUGUUUUGCAGAUUGGUGAAUCGAUUUUGGUGUAGAGAUGACAACUAGAGGUGAUGGCUCUUCACUAACAUUGGAGAUGAUGAUGAAGAAUCUGUUAGAGAUUGAAGAAAGUCUUGGAGAAAAGUUUGUUACGUUUUCGGUUAGAGGUUUCGUUACUCUCCAUUUUCUGUUCUGACUUUUUUUUCUGUUAUGCCUAUUGCCAGGGUGAUGGUAGCGUAUGAUUGAAGAAGAGAGGUUCAGGGAGGUUGAAGUUUUCUUCUGAGUUUCUUUGGUGGAGAAAUGAGAGGAUUCGGGAUGAAGCUCUUUGAGAAAUUGAAGUGUUGAAGGUUAUGGAGUCGUGAUGGUGAUGAAGAUUGUUGAUGCCGUGAUGAAGAAAAUGAAGACUCAGGAGAAGAUUCAGAAAGAGAAAGAGUUUGUUACGAUUUGGUUCUCAAUUUCUAAGUUCGGUUUUCUUAUGAUUUCGGACUGUUGUUGAUUGACUUGUUCGAACCGGUUCGGUUUAUCUGCAGGCUGGUUUAUUUUGUAGGUGGGGACUUUGGUGCAGGGUUGGAAUUUUGCAUAUAGAUUGUCUUUCUAUUUUUCUUUUAUGGUAUUUUUGUAAUGGACAUUUGUAAUGACCUUUGAAUGAUUAUGAAUCUUGCAAACAAUUUGAAUGAAUUUGAAUCUCGAAACAUGUGUGCUAAAACACAUGAAAGAACCUUCCAAGUUUAAACAAACUCUUAACAAAUUAUGAACUUAACACCUUUGAUACUACUUGAACGCCUUAGCAAACAUGAGUGAAUAUUCCAAAAUAAUCUUCAAUUUUCAAUGAACACUCCACGCUUAACGUUCAAACCAUAAGUGACUUGCAUUACGAGCAACAAGUAUUUGAACUCAUAAUAACACUUUAAUCACAAUGAUCCCGCAAACCAUAUUUUGCACCAUAAUAUCUUCACUUGCACAACAAGCAAUUAGAGGAAACCUUUGCACCGAAAUUGUCUUUAAAAACAACGAAAACUCUUCAUUAUUUUCUCAAUUUUUGAGAGACGAAAUAAACGUCUUUCAUAACUUAUAGCACAGAGAAAGAGGACAAAUUUU
Long non-coding RNA from Vicia villosa (hairy vetch), 1722 nucleotides. RefSeq lists it as uncharacterized. The transcript has 3 exons. NCBI's taxonomy places the organism in Eukaryota, Viridiplantae, Streptophyta, Magnoliopsida, Fabales, Fabaceae. The record is from RefSeq and is a predicted model, not a curated record.